This 494-nucleotide ribosomal RNA is filed under the name uncultured bacterium. RNAcentral's name for it is "partial 16S ribosomal RNA". It matches the Rfam family "Bacterial small subunit ribosomal RNA", at positions 28 to 507 of the family's 1533-position model. The record is from RNAcentral.
GACGAACGCUGGCGGCGUGCUUAACACAUGCAAGUCGAACGGUGAAGCGCCUUCCUUUUUGGUGGGUGUGGAUGAGUGGCGAACGGGUGAGUAACACGUGAGUAACCUGCCCCCUUCUUCUGGAUAACCGCAUGAAAGUGUGGCUAAUACGGGAUAUUCUGGGUCUGUCGCAUGAUGGGUCUGGGAAAGAUAUUGUUUCGGUGGGGGAUGGGCUCGCGGCCUAUCAGCUUGUUGGUGGGGUGAUGGCCUACCAAGGCGGUGACGGGUAGCCGGCCUGAGAGGGUGGACGGUCACACUGGGACUGAGACGCGGCCCAGACUCCUACGGGAGGCAGCAGUGGGGAAUAUUGCACAAUGGGCGCAAGCCUGAUGCAGCGACGCCGCGUGAGGGAUGGAGGCCUUCGGGUUGUGAACCUCUUUCGCCAGUGAAGCAGGCCUGCCUCGUUUGUGGGUGGUUUGACGGUAGCUGGAGAAGAAGCGCCGGCUAACUACGUG